UGCAUCGGCCAGGAAUCGAACCCGGGGCGCCCGCGUGGCAGACGAGCAUUCUACCACUGAACCAAAAGC
RNAcentral lists this transfer RNA (69 nucleotides) under Cordylochernes scorpioides. RNAcentral's name for it is "tRNA-Gly". Lineage: Eukaryota; Metazoa; Arthropoda; Arachnida; Pseudoscorpiones; Chernetidae. The record is from RNAcentral.